GGAUUCCGGUUGAUCCUGCCGGACCCGACUGCUAUUUGGGUGAGAAUAAGCCAUGCGAGUUGAAUGGGAUACCUAAAUGUCCCAUAGCAAACUGCUCAGUAACACAUGAUCAACUUACCCUAUAGAGAAGAAUAACCUCGGGAAACUGAGGAUAAUGCUUCAUAGUUGAAACGGCUUGGAAAAGUUUUUCAAUAGAAAGGAUAAGAAAAAUGGUUCUUAUUCGCUAUAGGAUAGGAUCGUGGACGAUUAUGGUUGUUGGUGAGAUAACGGCUCACCAAGCCGAUAAUCGAUAGGGGCCGUGAGAGCGGGAGCCCCGAGAUGGGUACUGAGACAACGACCCAGGCCUUACGAGGCGCAGCAGGCGCGGAACCUCAUCAAUACACGAAAGUGUGAAUGGGUUACCCAAAGUGUUCAAUUUUGAACUGUGGUAGGUGAGUAAUGUUCCCUACUAGAAAGGAGAGGGCAAGGCUGGUGCCAGCCGCCGCGGUAAAACCAGCUCUUCAAGUGGUCGGGAUAAUUAUUGGGCUUAAAGUGUCCGUAGCCGGUUUAGUAAGUUCCUGGUAAAAUCGGGUAGCUUAACUAUCUGUAUGCUAGGAAUACUGCUAUACUAGAGGGCGGGAGAGGUCUGAGGUACUACAGGGGUAGGGGUGAAAUCUUAUAAUCCUUGUAGGACCACCAGUGGCGAAGGCGUCAGACUGGAACCCGCCUGACGGUGAGGGACGAAAGCCAGGGGAGCGAACCGGAUUAGAUACCCGGGUAGUCCUGGCCGUAAACGAUGCAUACUAGGUGAUGAUACGGCCAUGAGCCGUAUCAGUGCCGUAGGGAAACCGUUAAGUGUGCCGCCUGGGAAGUACGGUCGCAAGGCUAAAACUUAAAGGAAUUGGCGGGGGAGCACCACAAGGGGUGAAGCCUGCGGUUCAAUUGGACACAACGCCGGGAAACUUACCAGGGGAGACAGCAGAAUGAUGGUCAGGUUGACGACCUUACCUAACAAGCUGAGAGGAGGUGCAUGGCCGUCGCCAGUUCGUGCCGUGAGGUAUCCUGUUAAGUCAGGCAACGAACGAGAUCCGCGCCUUUAUUUGCCAGCAAGAAGUCACGACUUCGUUGGGAACACUAAAGGGACCGCCGUCGAUAAGACGGAGGAAUGAGCGGGCAAAGGCAGGUCAGUAUGCCCCGAAACCCCUGGGCUACACGCGGGCUGCAAUGGUAUGAACAAU
RNAcentral lists this ribosomal RNA (1217 nucleotides) under Promethearchaeota archaeon. RNAcentral describes it as "bacterial SSU rRNA". It matches the Rfam family "Archaeal small subunit ribosomal RNA", at positions 1 to 1199 of the family's 1478-position model. The record is from RNAcentral. Lineage: Archaea; Promethearchaeati; Promethearchaeota.